This is a long non-coding RNA of Orcinus orca (killer whale), 622 nucleotides long. RefSeq lists it as uncharacterized. NCBI's taxonomy places the organism in Eukaryota, Metazoa, Chordata, Mammalia, Artiodactyla, Delphinidae. The transcript has 2 exons. The record is from RefSeq and is a predicted model, not a curated record.
CUUCAGGCCCCGAGCCUCGCCUUUACUUGGCGAAGGAGAAGAGAGGGGCAGAAGGGUCUGGCUGAGGGGUUACCCAGAAAGAGCCGGGAGACGGGCAACUCUACCCCAGGGACUUCUGCUGGAGUGAUCUUGGUAGCAGCAUUUGGAAAGACCACAGACUCGCUACUCCUGAGAGACGGGAAGGAAGCAGGAUGUGGAGGGGAAGGAUCUUAGGAGGGGAGGUAAACUACUGCAAAGGAUGCUCCCUGAAGACAAGCAACUGAGAGAAAAAGUCCAGCAGAAAGAAAGCACUAUAUGAAAACACUUUAUGUUUAAUCUCUACCAACCCCAGGCUAUGUAUUUAAUGUGGGGAUAUAUAUAUAUAUGCCUGAAAAUGCAUUUAAAAAGAUGUGGAAAGAUAGAUACAUACCAAAGUGAUAAUACUAGUGGAUUUUGCUGUAGAUUGUCUGGGCUGGGGCAGGGGGGAACGUCUAGGAGACUUAACCUUAUCUGCAAUGUUUCCACUUUCUAGAAACAGAAGGUAUUUAUGUAUAUUCUUACAUAAAAAUUCAAUUUUUAAAGAGGUGGCAUAUAGUAAGUUAUUUUUUUAGGGCUAAUAAAGAUUACUAAAAAUAUGAAAAUA